UACGGGAGGCAGCAGUGGGGAAUAUUGCACAAUGGGCGCAAGCCUGAUGCAGCCAUGCCGCGUGUAUGAAGAAGGCCUUCGGGUUGUAAAGUACUUUCAGUCGUGAGGAAGGUGUUAAGGUUAAUAACCUUAGCAAUUGACGUUAGCGACAGAAGAAGCACCGGCUAACUCCGUGCCAGCAGCCGCGGUAAUACGGAGGGUGCGAGCGUUAAUCGGAAUUACUGGGCGUAAAGGGCACGCAGGCGGUUAAUUAAAGUUGGAUGUGAAAUCCCCCGGGCUUAAACCUGGGAAUGGCAUUCAAGACUGGUUAGCUAGAGUCUUGUAGAGGGGGUAGAAUUCCAUGUGUAGCGGUGAAAUGCGUAGAGAUGUGGAGGAAUACCGGUGGCGAAGGCGGCCCCUGGACAAAGACUGACGCUCAUGUGCGAAAAGCGUGGGGAGCAAAACAGGGAUUAGAUACC
RNAcentral lists this ribosomal RNA (458 nucleotides) under uncultured bacterium. RNAcentral describes it as "bacterial SSU rRNA". It matches the Rfam family "Bacterial small subunit ribosomal RNA", at positions 340 to 786 of the family's 1533-position model. The record is from RNAcentral.